This 497-nucleotide ribosomal RNA is filed under the name uncultured bacterium. RNAcentral's name for it is "partial 16S ribosomal RNA". It matches the Rfam family "Bacterial small subunit ribosomal RNA", at positions 28 to 507 of the family's 1533-position model. The record is from RNAcentral.
GAUGAACGCUGGCGGCGUGCCUAAUACAUGCAAGUCGAGCGAACAGAUGAGGAGCUUGCUCCUCUGACGUUAGCGGCGGACGGGUGAGUAACACGUGGAUAACCUACCUAUAAGACUGGGAUAACUUCGGGAAACCGGAGCUAAUACCGGAUAAUAUAUUGAACCGCAUGGUUCAAUAGUGAAAGACGGUUUUGCUGUCACUUAUAGAUGGAUCCGCGCCGCAUUAGCUAGUUGGUAAGGUAACGGCUUACCAAGGCAACGAUGCGUAGCCGACCUGAGAGGGUGAUCGGCCACACUGGAACUGGGACACGGUCCAGACUCCUACGGGAGGCAGCAGUAGGGAAUCUUCCGCAAUGGGCGAAAGCCUGACGGAGCAACGCCGCGUGAGUGAUGAAGGUCUUCGGAUCGUAAAACUCUGUUAUUAGGGAAGAACAAAUGUGUAAGUAACUAUGCACGUCUUGACGGUACCUAAUCAGAAAGCCACGGCUAACUACGUG